CUCUCCCCACUUCCUGAAACCAGUAGAUUUCGAUUCCAAAAUGUCGUGAUUGAUCUCUUCUCCUGGGAUGAUUUCGUCGUCGUCGUCUUUUAUCGUCUCGAGGGAUAGGGAUUGGGUUCGAUCGCCUCACCGUGUACGUCACCGUCUUCUCCUCCUCACCGCCGUCCUUGUUCUUAUCCAAAAGCUCCUUCACCGGAUUGCUAACCUCUCCGACGGGCUUAUCGCCGGCGAUGGGACGAUCAGCCACGAUCUCGAUGACUAAGAACCGAACCGAGCCUUCACAUGGAGGUAGAGGGAGAAGAUGAGUUCAGGGAAGAAUAACUUCUUGGGGUUUGAGGAGGUGGUCUUUUUAUUCCCUGGAGGAUGGCCGGAGUCUCGAGAGAUUGCCGGAUUCUAACAAGUGAAUACUCUUCUUCUCUUCUCCUCUCUUACCGUAUGUUUUGUGUAUUGAAUGGUCUCCUUUGAAGAACAUAAUAUUGGCAAAAGUCUAAAUCUUUUGUUAUCAAGUGAAUACUAGUUUUACAUUAAUAUGAAGAAUAAUGAAACUACUUUUAGAUACCAAA
Molecule: long non-coding RNA, 563 nt
Organism: Brassica rapa (field mustard)
Lineage: Eukaryota; Viridiplantae; Streptophyta; Magnoliopsida; Brassicales; Brassicaceae
Source: RefSeq, a predicted model, not a curated record